This 6914-nucleotide long non-coding RNA is filed under the name Lathyrus oleraceus (garden pea). Its description in RNAcentral is "Pisum sativum (pea) long non-coding RNA (PSAT_LNC022631)". Lineage: Eukaryota; Viridiplantae; Streptophyta; Magnoliopsida; Fabales; Fabaceae. The record is from RNAcentral.
ACGAAUUCUUCAUUCAUUUAUCAAAGCAUGCAUUGUUCUUUACAAAAAUAAAUCAAAAUUCAUUUUUACAAAAAAGUUGACUUUUGGCCAACUGUUGACUUUUUGGUCAAACAGUUGACCAAAAUCAACCAUCAUUUUUUCACCCUAGGAUCUUAACACUAAUGACAUCUUCAUCAUUGUAGCAUCUCAUGAUCAUCCAUGGCCACCAUUUACUCCAUUAAUCAAGCUUUUGCCAAAUUCGUCAUCAUAGCUUGAACUUGCCUUUCUUGCCUUGAAGAUGACUUGUAAUUCUGCCCACCAUGCCUACAUCAAGACCAUGCCAAGUGAAGCCUACAAAAAAAAUCCAUAACACAUCAAGCAUGCCAAACCAAUGCAUUACCAAAUAACCAUAUCAAUUUAUUCAAUAAGCAUCAUAUUCAUCACAUGGCAACAUCACUAAUCAAAUUAGCAACAUUUCAAAUCCAUACCAAGCUAAGUUCAUUACAAGAUCUAAAAUUCAAGCAUAGAAGUGCAUUGCAUGGUCAGGUUCCAAGCAUUCCAUAAUUUAAGGCAUUUUAAGCAUAGCAAGUGGAGACAAACUGAUUGGCACAUUCCAUUCAUUACAAUAACAAUAACAAAACAAGCAUAACAGCCCUAUGUUAACGAGCAUGAAACUUAACCAACAAGUUCAAACAGGGCAGCCAUGAAUCUAUUUACACACAUAAAUUAAGCCAUGAACCUAGCAUUGGCACUCACACAAGGAGUUAUAGCUAACAACAACAUGGAUUUAGGCAGGAUUGCAACAGGGCCAUUACUAAAUAGCAUGGCAUAUAUGUCACGGCUUAAAAAAAUUUAGUUGCCAUUCAAAUUCAUGACAGUCCAUUCAUUACCACCAAUUCACAUUAAUGACAAUUCAUUUAACCACCUCUAACAUUUAACAAUUAAGCAAGGCUAACAAAAAUUCACUCUAAUUUAAAGCAUAACAGAAACAGAAUUGGCAGCAUUCUAGCUUCAAUUCGAGCAUGCCAUACACAAAACAAUUCACCCUAGCAAACAAGCAACAAUGCAUAGAUUGAACAUUCAACAAUAUUCACUUGGCAGGAUUGUUUUGUAUCAACUAAUUGUUAAUCAGGAAAUAAUCAAACACAUUUAUUAUAAAUAAUUUACAUUCAUAGAAUAGAAAAUUAGUAAUUAAGAGCUGUAAUUAGUUAUGAUUAUUCAUUAUGAGUUGUAAUUACCGACACUAUUAUAUAUAGUAUCAAAUACAAUGAGAAAUGCAUCAAGCCAGAAUUUAUAACAUGGUAUCAGAAGGUUCGAUCAAACCAAACCUUUGAAAUUGUGUUAUCUUGGGCUUGUCCGGCGACACCCACUGUGUCGUUCUCGAAAUUGUCUCUUCCAUUCCGGUUCAUUGUCGGAUUCGUUCUGUUGUUUGCGGUUUCGUGCCGUAUCUUGAUUUUGUCUCGGUGAUUCUCGAUUUGAAGGAUUGAGAUCGUGAUUCUCGAUAUUGUUCUGGAUUGUCGUUACUUGUGUGUGACUCUGAGUUUUGCUGCCGUCUCUUGAUUCUCGGUGUUGUUCAGGAUUGACGUUGUUUAGGUUCAAGAUUGACGGUUUUGCUUUGACAUCGUUAUUUCGUAUUUGCGAUCGAUUUUGAUCGGUGACUUCUCACGAUUUUGAUUCAUUGCUGCCAUUUACGACUCUGCAAUCGCAACAGUUGUUUCCUUUGUUAUGGUAUUGGGUAUUUAGGUUUCUAAGGUUAUUUUGUAUUCCUUUCCCUUUUUUUUCUUUUUCUGUAAUUUCAAGUGGUGGGUGCAGAAUUAAAAAAAAAAAAAAAAAAAGAAUAAUAAUAAUAAUUAAUUCUGCUGCACGUGUUUUACUUUAAAAAAAAGUAUUGUAUUAUGAAUUCAGAAAAAGAAAAAGAUAAUUUUUGUGUUCGUUUUACCGGUAAAAAUUAUCCGGCUUGGGAAUUUCAGUUUCGAAUGUAUGUCAAAGGGAAGGGAUUAUGGAAUCACUUGGAUGAUAUCUCUAUGGCGCCAUUAGAGACAACUGAUUUAGAUGCUUGGGAAAUCAAAUAUGCUCAAAUUAUCACUUGGAUUCUCGGUACUAUUGAUCCUCAAAUGAUUAAUAAUUUGCGAUCUUUUUCCACUGCUCAAGAAAUGUGGAACUAUUUAAAGCGUAUUUACAAUCAGGACAAUGCGGCCAAACGUUUCCAGUUGGAGCUCGAGAUAGCCAAUUACAAACAAGGUAAUAUGUCAGUUCAAAAAUAUUAUUCUGGUUUUUUGAAUUUGUGGACAGAACACUCUGCGAUUAUACAUGUGGAUGUUCCCAAGAGUUCUCUUGCGGAUGUCCAGGAGGUCUACAACACUAGUCGACGAGAUCAAUUUCUUAUGAAACUUCGUCCAGAAUUUGAAGUUGUCAGAGGUGCUUUGCUGAACAGGAAUCCUGUUCCUUCUUUAGACACAUGUGUUGGUGAACUUCUUCGAGAGGAACAACGUCUUGCUACUCAAGGAACCAUGUCUCAUGAAGUUGCUGUUUCUGAGCCUACAGUGGUUGCAUUUGCUGCUCAGAGUAGAGGUAAAGGUCGUGAUAUGAGACAGGUUCAAUGUUUCUCCUGUAAACAAUUUGGCCAUAUUUCACGGAGUUGCAAUAAAAAGUUCUGCAAUUAUUGCAAACAGCAAGGUCAUAUUAUAUCUGAUUGUCCCACACGUCCUCCACGACCAACACAACGUUCAGUGCAGGCAUUUCAUGCAAAUACAAAUUCUACCGAUGGCCCUUCUGUUACUAAUGCAUCUAAUGAUGGUACUCUACAGCCUGAACUAAUUCAACAAAUGGUACUUUCUUCUCUUUCGGCCUUGGGAAUUCAGGGUAAGUCUUCUAAUAUUUCUCGCCCAUGGUUUCUUGAUUCUGGUGCAUCCAAUCACAUGACGGGUUCCUCUGAAUAUUUGCACAAUUUACAUUCUUAUCAUGGUAAUCAGAAAAUUCAAAUAGCUGAUGGCAAUACUUUAUCUAUCACUAAUGUUGGCGAUAUAAACUCUGACUUUCGGGAUGUUCUUGUAUCACCCGGACUUGCUUCCAAUUUUUUGUCUGUUGGUCAAUUGGUAGAUAAAAAUCAUGAUGUUAACUUUUCUAGAGAUGGUUGUCUUGUGCAGGAGCAGGUGUCGGGGAAGGUGAUCGCGAAGGGGCCUAAAGUGGGAAGAUUGUUUCCAAUACAAUUUAUUUCUAAUCAUUUAUCUCUUGCGUGUAAUAACGUUUUGAAUUCUUAUGAGGAUUGGCAUAGAAAAUUAGGUCAUCCGAACUCUUCUGUUUUGUCUCAUUUAUGUAAAACUGGUUUGUUGGGAAAUAAAAAUGUUAUUUCUAAUGCCUCGGUUUCAUGUUCUGUUUGCAAAUUGGCUAAAAGUAAAACACUUCCUUUUCCGUCUAAUGCUCACCGUGCCUCUACUUGUUUUGAGAUAAUUCAUAGUGAUGUAUGGGGAAUGUCUCCCGUAGUUUCUCAUGCUCACUAUAAAUAUUUUGUCACAUUUAUUGAUGAUUAUAGUCGUUUUACUUGGAUAUAUUUUCUACGUUCUAAAUCUGAAGUGUUUUCUAUGUUUCAGAAAUUUUUGACAUAUGUUGAAACUCAAUUUCAAGCAAGUGUUAAAAUUUUUCGCUCUGACUCUGGUGGUGAGUACAUGUCUCAUAAGUUUCAGGAAUACCUUCAACAAAAAGGCAUCCUGUCUCAACGAUCUUGUCCCAAUACCCCUCAACAAAAUGGUAUGGCAGAACGUAAGAAUCGUCAUUUGCUUGAUGUAACACGCACUUUACUUCUCCAAGCUUCUGUACCAUCCCGAUUUUGGGUGGAGGCUCUUUCCACAGUUGUCUUCUUGAUCAAUCGUCUUCCUUCUAUGGUUAUUGAUCUUGAUUCUCCUUUCUUUCGUCUUUUUAAAAUUCAUCCUGAUUAUAGUGCUUUACAUACUUUUGGGUGUGUGUGUUUUGUUCACUUACCUCCUUUUGAAAGACAUAAGCUUGGAGCACAAUCCGUUCAAUGUGCAUUUAUGGGAUAUAGUCACUCUCAUAAGGGAUUUGUGUGUUAUGAUGUCACUAACCAUCGUUUUCGCAUUUCUAGAAAUGUGACAUUUUUUGAUAAUCAGUUUAUGUUUCCCUGUGUUUCUCCUGCCAUUAAUGAUAUUGUUACUCUUCCUAAGUUUUCUAUUAUGCCUCAAUCUAUUGAACGUUAUAAACCAGGUCAUGUAUAUGUUAGACAAAACAGGCAGCAGGUUCCCACACCCCUUCCCGUCGCUGAACCGCCACCUGAUCCUGUACCGGUUGAACCACGACGUUCUGGUAGAAUAUCUCGCGCACCAGAUAGAUAUUCACCAGACAGGUAUGAUUCCUCACAUACUUCUCUGACUGCCACACUCUCUAGCAUAUCUAUUCCUACUUGUUACUCACAGGCUGUUAAAGAUGUGCGAUGGAUAAAAGCAAUGAAUGAAGAGCUUCAAGCUCUUCAAGAGAAUUUCACAUGGGAUAUUGUCUCUUGUCCUCCUGAUGUCAAACCUAUAGGUUGCAAAUGGGUGUAUUCUGUGAAAUUAAAUUCUGAUGGGUCCCUUAACCGUUACAAGGCUCGUUUGGUUGCUUUAGGAAACAAGCAGGAAUAUGGAAUUGAUUAUGAUGAGACAUUUGCACCGGUUGCCAAAAUGACAACUGUUCGCACGAUCAUCUCUAUAGCUGCUUCUAGUGGGUGGUCUCUUCAUCAAAUGGAUGUGAAGAAUGCUUUUCUUCAUGGUGACCUGACAGAAGAUAUUUAUAUGAUUCCACCUCAAGGCUUAUUCUCUUCAUCUAAAGGCGUGUGCAAACUCAAACGCUCCUUAUAUGGUUUGAAACAGGCACCUAGAGCAUGGUACGAGAAAUUCCGUUCCACUCUACUUGGAUUCUCCUUUACUCAGAGUCAGUAUGAUUCCUCUUUAUUUAUUCAUAGUACAUCUGCGGGUAUUGUUCUGCUUCUUUUGUAUGUUGAUGAUAUGGUUAUUACUGGUUCUGAUCAUGCUUCCAUUCAGCGACUUAAGCAACAGUUACAGGCCUCAUUUCACAUGAAAGAUUUGGGUAAUCUACAUUAUUUUCUUGGUCUUGAGGUUCAUUCUACAUCCAAGGGCAUCUUUCUCCAUCAACACAAAUAUGCUACAGAUCUGAUUUCUAUGGCUGGUCUCGAAUCGGCUAAUCCGGUAGAUACUCCUCUUGAGGUUAAUGUUAAAUAUCAUCGUGAUGAUGGUGAUCUUUUGCCUGAUCCCUUAUUGUAUCGCCAACUUGUGGGUAGCCUCAACUACUUGACUAUUACUCGCCCUGACAUAUCUUUUGUUGUUCAACAAGUAAGUCAAUUCAUGCAUUCUCCUCGCCAUCUUCACUUAGCUGCGGUUCGUCGUAUAAUUCGCUACUUAAAGGGAACCUCUCACCGCGGAUUAUUCUUUUCCGUUGGAAUUUCUCUUCAGUUGAGUGCUUAUAGUGAUGCUGAUUGGGCAGGGUGUCCUGAUACUCGUCGAUCUGUUACUGGUUGGUGCAUGUUUCUUGGUUCUUCAUUGAUCUCUUGGAAAAGUAAGAAGCAAGCAAGAGUUUCUAAAUCUUCCACUGAAUCAGAGUAUCGUGCCAUGUCUGCUGCUUGUUCAGAAAUACUUUGGCUUCGUGGUCUUUUGGCUGAACUUGGAUUUCCCCAAACAGAGCCAACUUUACUUUAUGCUGACAAUACAAGUGCCAUUCAAAUUGUUGCAAAUCCUGUUUUUCAUGAACGCACCAAACAUAUCGAAGUUGAUUGUCAUUCAAUACGUGACGCCUACGAUGAUCGAAUAAUAUCACUUCCUCACGUCAGUACUCAGUUGCAGGUUGCAGAUAUUCUUACCAAGGCUGUUCCACGCCCACGACAUCAGUUUCUUGUUAGCAAAUUGAUGCUCCUUGACCAGCCGCAUCAAUUUGAGGGGGGAUGUUAAUCAGGAAAUAAUCAAACACAUUUAUUGUAAAUAAUUUACAUUCAUAGAAUAGAAAAUUAGUAAUUAAGAGUUGUAAUUAGUUAUGAUUAUUCAUUAUGAGUUGUAAUUACCGACACUAUUAUAUAUAGUAUCAAAUACAAUGAGAAAGAAUUUAUAACACUAAUAUCAACAACAAAUCAAUGCACACAUGACCAUUCUGCAAGUUCCAUUUGCUACUUAAUUAACCUAGUUAGUAAUAGCAACUAACAUCACCCCAAACCAACAUUGCAAACAGGGUAAAAUCUCAUAACACCAAGCCCUCUAACAAUGCAUUAGCAGCAUGUAUCUCAAGCUAAACCUACCACCAUACGACAUGACAAAAAGCGGUAGGUGAUGCUUUAACGGUUCAACGAUUCCAUAACAAAAAGCAGAAUUGCAAGUGUGGCAUUGUGGUUAACAAUUGCGAACAAUAAAACAACUCAUCUAACAGAUUUUAACACUCUGUUAAUAAAGCAAAUAAACUGACAGUAAAUCUAAUGGGAGGCAAUUAACAUUCUGAUUGAAUAUUGUCAGUUGUUAACAGAAUUUCAAACUUGACUUUGCUUGCAAUCAUUUCCAACUAUCGAAACAAAAUGCAAACUAACUCUCAUAAUAACAUAAUUCCUAACCAAUCACAACUAACCGCAAAAAUCCAAAACAGAAUUCUAUCAUACUAACUGACCACUAACUGAUUUAAAACUGACAACUAACUAGAAACUGAAUUGAUAACUAACCAUCUAAUCUAAUCUGGAUUUUCAGCAUGAAAUUUGAAGCUCCCUCGAAGGUGUGAAAACGGAAUUUGGAAGUAAAGGUCAAACACUGUUGAAACCUUGUGAGCGUUUUGCAAAGACUGGUGCCGUUUCAUAUGGAUCUGUUCCCCUUGGCUGCAAGAAGUGUAGAUCUUGUUUAGGCUUGAGGCCCAAACACGUUCUUGUUCAUACCUCUAUUCAACUCUGCACCAUUCAC